RNAcentral lists this RNase P RNA (294 nucleotides) under Mesorhizobium sp. RNAcentral's name for it is "partial RNase P RNA component class A". It matches the Rfam family "Bacterial RNase P class A", at positions 1 to 276 of the family's 367-position model. From Rfam's summary of the family: Ribonuclease P (RNase P) is a ubiquitous endoribonuclease, found in archaea, bacteria and eukarya as well as chloroplasts and mitochondria. Its best characterised activity is the generation of mature 5'-ends of tRNAs by cleaving the 5'-leader elements of precursor-tRNAs. Lineage: Bacteria; Pseudomonadati; Pseudomonadota; Alphaproteobacteria; Hyphomicrobiales; Phyllobacteriaceae. The record is from RNAcentral.
CCAGCUGGCCGGGCGGCCGCACCCGCAAACGCCGAAAGGCCGCGGGUGAGGAAAGUCCGGGCUCCAUGGAGACACGGUGCCGGUUAAUGGCCGGCGGGGGCGACCCCAGGGAAAGUGCCACAGAAAGCAAACCGCCACGACUUUGUCGGGGUAAGGGUGAAAGGGUGGGGUAAGAGCCCACCGCGCGACUGGCAACAGGAGCGGCACGGUAAACCCCACCGGGAGCAAGACCGAAUAGGGGCGGUGCGAGGGGAAACCCUCGAGGGCUGUUUCCGGCUCACCGUCCGGGUAGGU